This 305-nucleotide ribosomal RNA is filed under the name uncultured bacterium. RNAcentral describes it as "bacterial SSU rRNA". It matches the Rfam family "Bacterial small subunit ribosomal RNA", at positions 29 to 334 of the family's 1533-position model. The record is from RNAcentral.
AGUGAACGCUGGCGGCGUGCUUAACACAUGCAAGUCGAACGAUGAAGCCUAGCUUGCUAGGUGGAUUAGUGGCGCACGGGUGAGUAAUAUAUAGCUAAUCUGCCCUUUGGUGGGGGACAACAGUUGGAAACGACUGCUAAUACCCCAUACUCCUUCUACUUAUAAGAGUAGUCGGGAAAACUCCGGUGCCAAAGGAUGAGGCUGUACGGUAUCAGGUAGUUGGUGAGGUAAUGGCUCACCAAGCCUAUGACGCCUAGCUGGUCUGAGAGGAUGAUCAGCCACACUGGAACUGAGACACGGUCCAG